UGUUUUGUGUAAAUGCUCGUGUAUAUAAACAUUUUUAAAAUAUUUAUUUGUAAAUUUUAUUUAUUAUUAUCAUGUAAAAUAAUUAACUGUUAUAUUUUAAACUUGAUAUUAAAGAAGUUCUUAGUAUUUUGAUAUGAUUAUUAAAUUAUUUUUUACAAGAACAGUGUUCAAAUUAGAAGAUCUUUUAAAAGUCAAUUGUGCACGUAGACAAAUAUUUUUUAAACAAUGUAGUACCAAUAAAUUAAUAACAUAAGUUAUUAUGCUGAUACAAUUCUCUUGUAAAUAAUGCAUUUCAUUGUGCAGGUACAUAACUAAUUGCAGGGGUUAAUGCAGAAUUUUUUUGGAAUUUGAGCUAAAUAACUUCCGGAAUCCUUGCUCAAAAGAUAAAUCGGAGAAAGAUUAAACAUAAAUGAUGACGAAUUAAUGAUGACUGGCAACUGAAGAAGUAAAAACAACAUUAUAAUAAGAGUAUAUUUGUAUUAAUGAAUAUUUGUAUUAAUGAAUAUUAGUUCAUCAACUAUUAAGAACGAAAA
This is a non-coding RNA of Hydra vulgaris (swiftwater hydra), 533 nucleotides long. NCBI's taxonomy places the organism in Eukaryota, Metazoa, Cnidaria, Hydrozoa, Anthoathecata, Hydridae. The record is from RefSeq and is a predicted model, not a curated record.